RNAcentral lists this non-coding RNA (83 nucleotides) under uncultured Clostridium sp. RNAcentral's name for it is "Glycine riboswitch". It matches the Rfam family "Glycine riboswitch aptamer", at positions 7 to 88 of the family's 94-position model. Rfam says of the family: This family represents the bacterial glycine riboswitch. Glycine riboswitches usually consist of two metabolite-binding aptamers domains with similar structures in tandem. The record is from RNAcentral. Lineage: Bacteria; Bacillati; Bacillota; Clostridia; Eubacteriales; Clostridiaceae.
AGCAGCUCUGGAGAAUCCCGAUAAGGGUGCCGAAGGUGCAACGGAGUCAUCUCCCGAAUCUCUCAGGCAAAAGGACAGAGUUU